Molecule: ribosomal RNA, 405 nt
Filed under: uncultured bacterium
Lineage: Bacteria
Description: bacterial SSU rRNA
Rfam family: Bacterial small subunit ribosomal RNA
Source: RNAcentral
UGGGGAAUCUUGCGCAAUGGGCGAAAGCCUGACGCAGCAACGCCGCGUGCGGGAUGAAGGCCUUCGGGUUGUAAACCGCUUUCAGCAGGGACGAAAUUGACGGUACCUGCAGAAGAAGCCCCGGCCAACUACGUGCCAGCAGCCGCGGUAAUACGUAGGGGGCGAGCGUUGUCCGGAUUUAUUGGGCGUAAAGAGCUCGUAGGCGGUUGGGUAAGUCGGGUGUGAAAACUCAGGGCUCAACUCUGAGACGCCACUCGAUACUGCUCUGACUCGAGUCCGGUAGGGGAGCGUGGAAUUCCCGGUGUAGCGGUGAAAUGCGCAGAUAUCGGGAGGAACACCAGUGGCGAAGGCGGCGCUCUGGGCCGGAACUGACGCUGAGGAGCGAAAGCGUGGGUAGCAAACAGG